AGCGAACGCUGGCGGCAGGCUUAACACAUGCAAGUCGAGCGGGCACUUUCGGGUGUCAGCGGCGGACGGGUGAGUAACGCGUGGGAACGUGCCCUCUGGUUCGGAAUAACUCAGGGAAACUUGAGCUAAUACCGGAUACGCCCUUUUGGGGAAAGGCUUGCUGCCGGAGGAUCGGCCCGCGUCUGAUUAGCUAGUUGGUGAGGUAACGGCUCACCAAGGCGACGAUCAGUAGCUGGUCUGAGAGGAUGAUCAGCCACACUGGGACUGAGACACGGCCCAGACUCCUACGGGAGGCAGCAGUGGGGAAUAUUGGACAAUGGGCGCAAGCCUGAUCCAGCCAUGCCGCGUGAGUGAUCAAGGCCUUAGGGUUGUAAAGCUCUUUUAUCCGGGAUGAUAAUGACGGUACCGGAGGAAUAAGCCCCGGCUAACUUCGUG
This 435-nucleotide ribosomal RNA is filed under the name uncultured bacterium. Its description in RNAcentral is "partial 16S ribosomal RNA". It matches the Rfam family "Bacterial small subunit ribosomal RNA", at positions 29 to 507 of the family's 1533-position model. The record is from RNAcentral.